GGGGGAUGUAGGGAUUCAUCUUUGUCACAUUUUCUCUCUAAUUUAGCUGUCUAGGGAGCCUCCCUUGUUUUGCAGAAGUGGAAACAUCCAGUUUAAUUUCAUCUUUUCUCAGACUGCAGUAGCUUGCUUCCUCAGAAGCCAGGGUCUCUCUCCAUUUAUUCUUAGUGUUUAUCCCUUUAAUUCUCCUACAGUUUCACAAGUGCUUCUGGUAUAUUUUGUAAUUUUAGCUUAUAAUCACAUUUUUCGAAGAGGCACCAUCUGGUUCCUGACAUGGCUUAAAAUAACAAUCUAACUAACACGAACCCUGCAGCAAUGCUUUGCGCCCUUCCCAACCCAGUGUGAGAGUGUCCCCACCUAUAUUUCUUCACAAAUGCUCCACUGUUAGGUUCCAUCCCUUCCGAUAGAUCUCACAGAAAGCGGGGCCUUUUACCUCUUUCAUCUCGAACCCAGUCGUUUCAGGCAGUCAAAAUGGAUGCGUUAAAAAAAAAAAAAAAAAACCUUGCAGCUAGGACAGCAGAGGAUCUGCUGUGAACUGCUCAGUCAGAGACUUGGAGCUGGAGCUCACGUCUGUAUUUCAGCUGCCCUCUGGUGCUUAGCACUGCAGCAGUACACGCCAUCAUCAUGGCCCCAGUGCUUGGAGGUCCCUGCGACGGAGCAGCGGAAACCAAGCACAGCAAAAAUUCCUUUGAAGACAGAAAAGUGGCCCAGUGCUGUGCAGCAGGGCUACGGUGCUGGAAUCCAGCCCGGCCCAGUGCCGGCGUUGGCAGCGGCCUUCCCAUUAUAUCAGGAAGGGCUGUAUCCCGUCGCCACCAUGCCCCAACCCCCCCGGCUCGCCUCAGCUGUCUGCGGGACGUGGAGCCAGGCAGAGGGUGCCCUGCAAGAAGCAGAGCUGUUGGUUUGAGGUGCGGAAAGCCGGCCAGUCUGGAUGCGACUGCUGCUGCGUGGCGGACAGGUUCCAUCUUCCUGUGGCACUGAGAUUGUGAAUGCAACAAGUAUUGAUGAACGAGGUGCUCGUGGAGCCAAACAGCAAACCCACAUCAGCGAGAACAGAGUGACCUGAUGUAGAAACAAGAGUCAUCUCCUGAUCCACCAAUAUACGCUCUGUGUGUGUACGUAUAGGUUGCUGCAAAGUGCACUCUCAUUUACUAGAUGGCUAUACAACAAAUGUAGCGCUUGUGUCAUUUCUGAACCAUGCCUAUGAAAAAUGGGCUUAAUUUUUUAUCUAAUGGCCAUGACCUUUUCUCUAUAUUGCCCAGCAAUGUAGAUGCUGGAUGUCACGUGUACGCAUAGUAUCUUAAGUGAUAAACAAUUUGUUUUUGCAGUUUGGCCAGCAUCAUUAGUUAAUUAGACCGUGGCUGUUUAGGCACCUGGAACAAGCAGUGGGAAUUUAAAUUCUUCUGAUAGAAGGAUUUAUUUCUAAUGAGUCUCGACACAUAAUGAGUUCCAACCGGGGGAGACUGACCAUUAGUGGAUGACUCACAGCAUUACCGUAAAGAUCAGAGUCACAUAUUUAAUUUUAUAAGGCUUACAUACACUCGGUGAGAGCACAGAUUCUAGAAACAAAUCUUUUGGUUCCAGUUUUGUUACCGUGUUAGAUUUCACACAGUCCUCCUAUGCCUGAGAGUAAACACGUAGGACACAGCAGACUAUUUAUUUUAUUUCACUUUUUUAUUGCUCUUCCUCUCUCCAGUUUCAAGAGGAAAAGAAGCUGAGUUUUUAAUAUUGUGAGAAUGCUCAGCCCUUUUCAGCUGGGAGAUGUCAGAAGCAGCUGCAGACCUAAAUGAAAGGAGCUCAUCUCUGGAAAUUUGCUAUGCUGUAAUAAAUGCAGGCUUCUGCUGGUGAGCUGCUGAUGG
Long non-coding RNA from Phasianus colchicus (ring-necked pheasant), 1853 nucleotides. Lineage: Eukaryota; Metazoa; Chordata; Aves; Galliformes; Phasianidae. The record is from Ensembl.